GGGUCGUUAGCUCAGUUGGUAGAGCAGCGGACUCUUAAUCCGUUGGUCGCGGGUUCAACCCCCUCACGACCCACCA
This 76-nucleotide transfer RNA is filed under the name Succinivibrio faecicola. RNAcentral describes it as "Succinivibrio sp. AGMB01872 tRNA-Lys". It matches the Rfam family "tRNA". From Rfam's summary of the family: Transfer RNA (tRNA) molecules are approximately 80 nucleotides in length. Their secondary structure includes four short double-helical elements and three loops (D, anti-codon, and T loops). The record is from RNAcentral. Lineage: Bacteria; Pseudomonadati; Pseudomonadota; Gammaproteobacteria; Aeromonadales; Succinivibrionaceae.